ACAAAUGAGUCUUUUAAUAGCAUCCAAGCAUAGCAUUUUAAUGUUAAUGUUAUAAUAAAUAGAAGGAAAAAACAGGGGAAAACAAAAAUAAAAGCGCGGAAAAGAAAACUUAAAUGCCCUUUUUCAUUUUUUUCAAUCUUCCCCCGAAUUUCCUUCUCUCACAGAUCCCUCUCCCGAUUUUUCUCUUCUGGCAGACCCUUUCCUCAACGCGGCUACCACCCAAACGUUGCUGCCGACUCACCGCACUCCUCACCCAACGACUCCCUGCUCAUCGAACUAGUCGUCGACUCGUCGCACCGAACAGAUUCGCCAGGAAUUCGCUUUCGUGCAGCUGCGAGUGUUUUCGAUUUCUCUUUUAUGUCGUGUUGUGUCGAUUGACAAGAGGAAAGUAUGUUGAGCAUGGUAUAUUUAAUCUCAAUUCUCAUUUUAUAUUUAGAAGGCUUAAAACUGUAUUCCUUUAAAUAUUGAAGGUAUUUUUUUUAUUUCAUUUUCAUCUCAAUGCAAGUUGUCAUCAUUCUUUUGAGGUAUGCAUUCUUUGUGCAAGCAUUCAAAGAUCAUUGUAACUAUUUGUGUUAGAUUAUUGUGCGUGCAAAAUGGACCACAAUUAUAUCAUGUGACAGAUUUUUUGUUGUUGAUGAUCAUUUAGCUAUUGAGCUUUUUUGCUAUUGGGUCGAAUUAGUUGUUAAAAAUUGAGAGUGUGUUUGGAAAUUUUUUGAUUUGGGAUAUCUUUUAGAUAAGCAUUUCUCUAUUGGGGUUCUUCAGAGUUUCUAAAAAGUCCUUAGUCUUUUUCUUUUUUUGGUUUCUUUAGUUUUAUUGUUUUGGUGGUUUGGCUGUAGUCAGUGAGCAAAAUAAACUUUUACAACAUGCUACAACCAUAAUUCUUUUUCUAAACAUUUUGUAACUUAAAAUUGUUUUUCUUUUUUUAUGUAAAUCCAAUCGAAAUGUGUUUUUGUGGACUCCAUUUGCUAUAGGGCUCUCCUAUUUUGUAUACAACUCACAUUUUCAAUGAAGAGUCUACUCCAUGCUAUAUUUGUUUCGUAAUGUAUGUAUAACCUGCCAUGGUUUUGUUAUAACAAUGAAUGUCAUGAAUAGUUUAUGCUGCUAGUGAAAGGGUAUGACCAUCUUUGCAGCGGGAAUGAUCAACAAUGAUCAAGGUUUCAAUUUUCUUAGAUGUAUUAGUUCAGACUUUGAUAAAGUCAAGGCAACUAUCAAAGGUUCUAUGAAUUUAAAGAUAAUGGCUUCUAGUUUGACUGGAUCGACAGACCCCCUUUCAGAGAAUCUUAUGGGCUACUAAAUAUUCUAGUUGUAGCAGUAGUCAGUAAAAUUUGCAAAUGUGGCUUUGAGAAUCUUUUAUUUUACUGACCAUUGAUAUUUUUCUGUUCAUACUGAUGCAUGGCUUAUUAAUUGUAUUCCAUAGCUGAGCAAUAAGUUCCAUUCAUACUAAACUAAGGAAGCUGGCUAUUUUCACUUUGUAUGUUAGAAUGAAGGAAAAGCUAGGGAAAUUCUGGAUAAGGCAGUGGAGCAUGCUGAAUUAUCCAAACCACUUAUUUAGGCCUUGGUACAUUUUGAGGCAAUUCACUCUACGGCAAAAAGAAUUGAUUAUUUAGAUUCAUUAGUUGAAAAGGUCAUAAUGCCCAACACAGAGAAAGCAACGGUCGCGAGUGCUUCAAUGAGGGAGGAGUUAUCGAGCAUUUUCUUCGAGAUACAUUAUGAGACUUUGAGGGAAGUUGAAAUGCAAGGAAUGUACGCAUGGCAGUCACAGGCAAGGGAAGAGGUAGAGACGUUGUGUGAAGAAGAUGAAGACGAGCAUGGUGACACCUUAUGUGGGGCAUGCGGUAAGAAGUAUGCUUCAGAUGAAUUUUGGAUUUGCUGUAAUAUUUGUUGUAUGAAGAAAUGCUUCAGUUUAUCAGUUUCCUUGUGAUGUAUUGAGCUUUCUAAUAAUACAAGAUACUCCUAUUCUUUUAAAAA
This is a long non-coding RNA of Cucumis melo (muskmelon), 1968 nucleotides long. RefSeq lists it as uncharacterized. Lineage: Eukaryota; Viridiplantae; Streptophyta; Magnoliopsida; Cucurbitales; Cucurbitaceae. The record is from RefSeq and is a predicted model, not a curated record. The transcript has 7 exons.